RNAcentral lists this ribosomal RNA (253 nucleotides) under uncultured bacterium. RNAcentral describes it as "partial 16S ribosomal RNA". It matches the Rfam family "Bacterial small subunit ribosomal RNA", at positions 524 to 776 of the family's 1533-position model. The record is from RNAcentral.
UACAGAGGUGGCCAGCGUUGUUCGGAAUUACUGGGCGUAAAGGGCGCGUAGGCGGUCUUAUAAGUCUCGUGUGAAAUCCCUCGGCUUAACUGAGGAACUGCACGGGAUACUGCAAGACUUGAGAUCGGGAGAGGGAAGCGGAAUUCCGGGUGUAGCGGUGAAAUGCGUAGAUAUCCGGAGGAACACCGGUGGCGAAGGCGGCUUCCUGGACCGAAACUGACGCUGAGGCGCGAAAGCUAGGGGAGCAAACGGG